RNAcentral lists this transfer RNA (69 nucleotides) under Ictidomys tridecemlineatus (thirteen-lined ground squirrel). RNAcentral's name for it is "Spermophilus tridecemlineatus (thirteen-lined ground squirrel) tRNA". It matches the Rfam family "tRNA". Rfam says of the family: Transfer RNA (tRNA) molecules are approximately 80 nucleotides in length. Their secondary structure includes four short double-helical elements and three loops (D, anti-codon, and T loops). Lineage: Eukaryota; Metazoa; Chordata; Mammalia; Rodentia; Sciuridae. The record is from Rfam by way of RNAcentral.
GGAGUUGUGGCUCAGUGGCAGAGCGCUUGCCUAGCAUGUGUGAGGCACUGGGUUCAAUUCUCAGCACCA